GGCCCGUUCGUCUAUCGCGUAGGAUACCGCUCUUUCAAGGCGGAGAGGUGGGUUCGAUUCCCAUACGGGUCAC
RNAcentral lists this transfer RNA (73 nucleotides) under Gimesia aquarii. Its description in RNAcentral is "Planctomycetes bacterium V144 tRNA-Glu". It matches the Rfam family "tRNA". From Rfam's summary of the family: Transfer RNA (tRNA) molecules are approximately 80 nucleotides in length. Their secondary structure includes four short double-helical elements and three loops (D, anti-codon, and T loops). Further hydrogen bonds mediate the characteristic L-shaped molecular structure. tRNAs have two regions of fundamental functional importance: the anti-codon, which is responsible for specific mRNA codon recognition, and the 3' end, to which the tRNAs corresponding amino acid is attached (by aminoacyl-tRNA synthetases). tRNAs cope with the degeneracy of the genetic code in two manners: having more than one tRNA (with a specific anti-codon) for a particular amino acid; and 'wobble' base-pairing, i.e. permitting non-standard base-pairing at the 3rd anti-codon position. The record is from RNAcentral. Lineage: Bacteria; Pseudomonadati; Planctomycetota; Planctomycetia; Planctomycetales; Planctomycetaceae.